Non-coding RNA from Rhineura floridana, 70 nucleotides. Lineage: Eukaryota; Metazoa; Chordata; Lepidosauria; Squamata; Rhineuridae. The record is from the annotation of a RefSeq genome assembly.
GGGGCUGUAGCUCAGUGGUUAGAGCACCUGCUUCGCAUGCAGGUCCCAGGUUCAAUCCCUGGUAUCUCCC